GGCGCCCCACCCCCGAGCGGGCGCGGCCGUCCCGCCCUUGGCCUUGGUCUCCAGGUGGCGCCAGGGAUAAACCCCGAACCUCACAGGGCUGAAGCCAGAGACGAAGUGCCCGCGGUGGAACAGGCUGGCUUCUCUGCGGCAGCUGCCCCAGGUAUCAGCCAGAACAUGGUGCUCAAGCCGAAGUCAGCCAAGAAAUUGCUCGUUUUCUUAGGAAAAUCAGUGUUGGCUCUUGUGGAGACUGUAGUUUUUGCUGUAAUCCCAAAACCACGGAAGAAUGUCGCUGGUGAAAUCGUACUUAUAACAGGCGCUGGAAGUGGACUCGGAAGGCUCCUAGCCCUCAAAUUUGCCCAGCUUGGGUCGGUGCUUGUGCUCUGGGAUAUCAGUCAGGAGAGUAAUGAGGAGACCUGCAAGAUGGCUGGGGAAGCUGGAGCCACGAGGGUCUAUGCCUAUACCUGUGACUGCAGCCGGAAGGAGGAGAUAUACAGAGUGGCCAAUCAGGUGAAGAAAGAAGUUGGUGAUGUUUCCAUCCUGAUCAACAAUGCCGGAAUUGUAACAGGUAGAAAGUUCAUGGACUGCCCGGAUGAGCUUAUAGAAAAGUCUCUUGACGUGAAUUUCAAAGCACAUAUAUGGACUUAUAAAGCCUUUCUACCUGCUAUGAUUGCUAAUAACCAUGGACAUUUGGUGUGCAUUUCAAGUUCAGCUGGAUUAAUUGGAAUAAAUGGACUGGCAGAUUACUGUGCAAGUAAAUUUGCAGCCUAUGGAUUUGCUGAAUCGAUAUUUUUAGAAUCAUUUACCAAGGGACAGAACGGGAUCAAAACCACUAUCGUGUGUCCAUUUUUUAUAAAAACUGGAAUGUUUGAUGGAUGUACUACUGGCUGUCCUUGUCUCUUACCGAUUCUGGAGCCAGAAUAUGCAGUCAGGAAGAUAGUAGAUGCUAUCCUGCAAGAAAACAUGUACCUGUAUAUGCCCAAGUUUAUAUACUUCAUGGUGGUUUUAAAAAGGACAAGUCUCCUGUUGGCUGACUGUGCCCUUCCUCGUCCUGCAGUGUGAACGUCAUGAUGGACAGGAUCAAAGUGUCAGGAGGGGCGAGCAGGAUGGAGAAGAUGGACAGUCUUAAUUGGGUCUUGCCAAAGCUCUGAGGGGCUAUUGCAUGGACUUCUCUCUUUUGUCCAGGAAAGAAAGGUCAAUGACCUCUUUGGACAGUGGGAGGAACAGAGUGUUGAGAGCCCAGUAGCACUGUGAGCAACAGGGCGAGGUUGCAAGGCAGGAUCAAGACUCCUCAAGGCUGCAUGCUUCCUGUCCAUCAUUACAGAGUGUAGUCAGGCCUUGAGACUGACAUGGAAGUGAGUGAAUAAUGUAAAUAAAGCAAAGAGAAACACAGAGAUCCUGGGCCGGUGUCCUCCCACGUGGUGGACGAGCCGAGUGACCACAAGACAGGGACAUUCAGCUUCUUGCCCCUCAAGCUGGGGCUGCUUUUGGGUGAGUACCUGGGGGCCUUUAAUUUAAUGGAUGGCUUCACUGGUGCCAGGAAGAAAAACUGAAGACCGAUUCUGUGGCUGACAUCCCCAGAUACCCACAGUUACACAACAUCUAUUUCAAUGAAGAAGUGUCUUUGUUGACAGAAUGUACCUGGAGACCACAAGCACCAGUCUGCUGUCUAGACUAGUAUUUGCAACCAGUGCCUCUGAAAAUAAUGUUGCACUCUGUUUUUCUGUUGAGUUUUUUUUAAUUAAAAAAAAAAAAAGUCCA
RNA transcript from Bubalus bubalis (water buffalo), 1749 nucleotides. It is a transcript of the gene named epidermal retinol dehydrogenase 2-like, with no coding region annotated. Lineage: Eukaryota; Metazoa; Chordata; Mammalia; Artiodactyla; Bovidae. The transcript is spliced from 8 exons. The record is from RefSeq and is a predicted model, not a curated record.